This 469-nucleotide ribosomal RNA is filed under the name uncultured bacterium. RNAcentral describes it as "partial 16S ribosomal RNA". It matches the Rfam family "Bacterial small subunit ribosomal RNA", at positions 27 to 507 of the family's 1533-position model. The record is from RNAcentral.
GGACGAACGCUGGCGGCGUGCUUAACACAUGCAAGUCGAACGGAAAGGCCCUGCUUUUGUGGGGUGCUCGCGUGGCGAACGGGUGAGUAACACGUGAGUAACCUGCCCUUGACUUUGGGAUAACUUCAGGAAACUGGGGCUAAUACCGGAUAGGAGCUCCUGCUGCAUGGUGGGGGUUGGAAAGUUUCGGCGGUUGGGGAUGGACUCGCGGCUUAUCAGCUUGUUGGUGGGGUAGUGGCUUACCAAGGCUUUGACGGGUAGCCGGCCUGAGAGGGUGACCGGCCACAUUGGGACUGAGAUACGGCCCAGACUCCUACGGGAGGCAGCAGUGGGGAAUAUUGCACAAUGGGCGGAAGCCUGAUGCAGCAACGCCGCGUGCGGGAUGACGGCCUUCGGGUUGUAAACCGCUUUCGCCUGUGACGAAGCGUGAGUGACGGUAAUGGGUAAAGAAGCACCGGCUAACUACGUG